CUAAUACCGGAUAAUAUUUCGAACCGCAUGGUUCGAUAGUGAAAGAUGGUUUUGCUAUCACUUAUAGAUGGACCCGCGCCGUAUUAGCUAGUUGGUAAGGUAACGGCUUACCAAGGCGACGAUACGUAGCCGACCUGAGAGGGUGAUCGGCCACACUGGAACUGAGACACGGUCCAGACUCCUACGGGAGGCAGCAGUAGGGAAUCUUCCGCAAUGGGCGAAAGCCUGACGGAGCAACGCCGCGUGAGUGAUGAAGGUCUUCGGAUCGUAAAACUCUGUUAUUAGGGAAGAACAUACGUGUAAGUAACUAUGCACGUCUUGACGGUACCUAAUCAGAAAGCCACGGCUAACUACGUGCCAGCAGCCGCGGUAAUACGUAGGUGGCAAGCGUUAUCCGGAAUUAUUGGGCGUAAAGCGCGCGUAGGCGGUUUUUUAAGUCUGAUGUGAAAGCCCACGGCUCAACCGUGGAGGGUCAUUGGAACUGGAAAACUUGAGUGCAGAAGAGGAAAGUGGAAUUCCAUGUGUAGCGGUGAAAUGCGCAGAGAUAUGGAGGAACACCAGUGGCGAAAGGCGACUUUCUGGUCUGUAACUGACGCUGAUGUGCGAAAGCGUGGGGAUCAAACAGGAUUAGAUACCCU
RNAcentral lists this ribosomal RNA (638 nucleotides) under Staphylococcus haemolyticus. Its description in RNAcentral is "bacterial SSU rRNA". It matches the Rfam family "Bacterial small subunit ribosomal RNA", at positions 163 to 788 of the family's 1533-position model. The record is from RNAcentral. Lineage: Bacteria; Bacillati; Bacillota; Bacilli; Caryophanales; Staphylococcaceae.